AUAUUGAGCUUCAACCCUCCUCUACCUCUAGACCCUAGAAAUAAGGUGUGUGUGUCGGGGGAGGGGGGGGGCGGUGCCGUACACGCCUUCGCAGCCCGCUCGUGUUGGCGAGGUAGGUGGGGGGAGGCGCUCGGAAACUUCGCGAGGGGUCACAGGGCUCCAAGGCGCCCGGAUCCAAGACUUCUCCAGGUCAUGUGCGUGUGAAGGCCCGAGGAACGUCAGUUACAACCCCACCCGAACUCCGCGCUGCGGCUUCCCGCCUGGAACAAAGGCAGGCUCCCCACCCUGGUCUGCGUCUGAAUAUCGCAGGCACGCAGGAAUUGAGGAAGCCUCCACUCUCUCCCGUGACCGAGAGAAAGGGCAGAGCCACGAAGGCUGCGUUUAGCACUGCCCCGCUUCCUGCGCGGAGCGGCCGGGGCCGGGCUCUUUCAUCCCGGCUCCUGCGCCUGAGGGUGCGGCCGUGCCUCUCCCACCGGCCCGCACCGCUGCCG
Long non-coding RNA from Bos taurus (domestic cattle), 491 nucleotides. The record is from Ensembl. Lineage: Eukaryota; Metazoa; Chordata; Mammalia; Artiodactyla; Bovidae.